Molecule: long non-coding RNA, 819 nt
Organism: Oxyura jamaicensis (ruddy duck)
Lineage: Eukaryota; Metazoa; Chordata; Aves; Anseriformes; Anatidae
Exons: 3
Source: RefSeq, a predicted model, not a curated record
CAAAUGAUGUCCCAAAGCAAGGUUUGUGGCCAUGGGACCUGGCCACCUGCUGAUGGCCAGAGGCUGAGGAAGCCAAGGCGUCCUCCGAGCCAGUGAUCUCAUGCUAUUCCUGCACAGGCAGCAGCUGGAAGUAGCUGGAAACAUCCCUCAGAGUAAUUUUUCCUAUGCCGGCUGUUGCCAAACGAUGGUCUGUGGAGCCCUGCUGGUUGGUGAGCUCAUGGAAAGCCAUCUGCACCUGGGCUCGGGGGCCAUCCAGCCGAAACGGUGGUGACAUAGACACACGUACGGCAAGUGGAUGCAGAGGGCAGCGAGGGGGAGUGGAUGCGCUCGGCCGUGCCUUGCUGCCUGCAGAGGAGAACGCAUGCUCACGCUCGGCCGGCGGCUGCCUGCACACAUUCCCUUGUUUUCUCGGCUGGGAUGGAGGGAGAAGGCCUGGUUUCGGUUAAGCCCUUGGUCACACAAAGAUGCCUUUCCUAUUACUCUUUUGUUUUCCCUUCCCAGUAAUGUUCCCAUUUAACUCUUUCAACUCUCCCCAGGGGUGCAGCUCACCCUUCCCGAGGGAUGGCCCCAGGCAGGGGCAAUUCAGGAGCAAAGGGCGGUUGUGGGGGUCCAGGGCUGGAGCCCCCCAACCCCACAUACAGGCUUGGGGAAGCUGGUGCAGGGGAGGAUGGCAGUGCCGGGAAGAGCUGGGGUGCCAGGAGGAAGAUACUCCAACGCCACAGUGCUGAGCAUGGUGGAAAUACCUAAAGAGUCAGUCAUGGUGUUAUCAUGGCUGAAUUUGGCUCCAAACUUCAGAUCUGCAAAGGGGGAGUGCUGGGG